CAAGAGGACCAUCUGUGGACCAGAGAGGGGGCUCCAGACAUUGAAUCUGCUAGCACUGUGGAUUACCAGCUUCCAGAAUUAUAAGCCACCCAGUUCAUAACUUAUUAUAACAGCUCAAAUUAACCCUCAAGGAUCCAUAGAAUGAAGGAACAAUCAUGUCUCUUUGAAUGUAUUACCUCAUUUCAUUCUCUCAGCUACUCAAUAGACAUUUUCAAAGGUUUUGAUACAUAUCAUUGACCAUUGCUGGCCAGCCUGACCUGGCUCUUCAGAUUCUACUCAAGCACAUGUACGUCUAUCUCUGAGAUGCUCUAUGAUCCUUAAGCACUUUGGUCAUCUAUCUCCAGAAAGUGGCCUUGUCAAUCAACGAGUGGUAACAAAGGAGUCUCUACUCUAAGCUACUAGAGAAUUCUUAGUAUCACAGGGAUAUUCCAAAGAGGAUGUUGGCCAGCAGUGGGAAGAAUCUCACAGAGGACUGACUCUCAAAACCUCAAUGAAUAUGCAGACCACCUGUAGAGAAAGAUUCUGGUUCACCAGGUCCAUAGGGGGUUGGAAAGUCAACACCUUUCAUGUAUAUUUCUACUUCAAGUACCACAUUAACCUGGCCAGGAACUGAGGCGCAGCCUUGUCAUUCCUUAAUUUUUCUGGGAUGUGUGAAUGUUAAGAGGAGAAAACAAAGGGCUCCAGGGAAAGUGAAUAUGGGUGGCAAUGUUCUGCUUCUAGAUGAUCAAAAUAUGGGUUAUUAUAGACAGUGAAUUGCCUUCAAUUUUGCAAAGACCAAAGUUAAGCAACAAUAUAUCACCAAAAACAAAUGAUCAACUAUCAUCACACAUCCUCUCCCAUCUCUCUCUCACACACACUUACACACCCUCAAGCAACAUUCUAAGCACUGGAAAUAAAAAAAAAAAACAUGGGACCACCAGGAAAACAAAAUAUUGUUAUUCUGCUAAAGGAACAUAGCAAUAAAAUGACCCCUAAUGACAUUUUGCUCUACUCAUAGAUCAGGAUCUUGCUCAGCCAUAAUUAGAAAAGCUUCUUCAUGCAAUAAAUGGGAACUAACAUAGAAACUGGACGAUGUGCAAGGGAGCGAGAGAUUUUGCUUGGAACACUGAGUUCUAAAUUUGGGAUGUCUUCAUCAAACCUUUCCCCCAAGGGUAUAAGGAUUUAUGUGGAAGAGGAGGUGAAA
Molecule: non-coding RNA, 1183 nt
Organism: Peromyscus maniculatus bairdii (prairie deer mouse)
Lineage: Eukaryota; Metazoa; Chordata; Mammalia; Rodentia; Cricetidae
Source: RefSeq, a predicted model, not a curated record